GAUGAACGCUAGCUACAGGCUUAACACAUGCAAGUCGAGGGGAAACGGCAUUAAGUGCUUGCACUUUUUGGACGUCGACCGGCGCACGGGUGAGUAACGCGUAUCCAACCUUCCCAUGACUAAGGGAUAACCUGCCGAAAGGCAGACUAAUACCUUAUGGUCUUCACUGACGGCAUCAGAUGUGAAGUAAAGAUUUAUCGGUUAUGGAUGGGGAUGCGUCUGAUUAGUUAGUUGGCGGGGUAACGGCCCACCAAGGCAACGAUCAGUAGGGGUUCUGAGAGGAAGGUCCCCCACAUUGGAACUGAGACACGGUCCAAACUCCUACGGGAGGCAGCAGUGAGGAAUAUUGGUCAAUGGGCGAGAGCCUGAACCAGCCAAGUAGCGUGCAGGAUGACGGCCCUAUGGGUUGUAAACUGCUUUUGUAUGGGGAUAAAGUCAGUCACGUGUGAUUGUUUGCAGGUACCAUACGAAUAAGGACCGGCUAAUUCCGUGCCAGCAGCCGCGGUAAUACGGAAGGUCCGGGCGUUAUCCGGAUUUAUUGGGUUUAAAGGGAGCGUAGGCUGGAGAUUAAGUGUGUUGUGAAAUGUAGACGCUCAACGUCUGACUUGCAGCGCAUACUGGUUUCCUUGAGUACGCACAACGUUGGCGGAAUUCGUCGUGUAGCGGUGAAAUGCUUAGAUAUGACGAAGAACUCCGAUUGCGAAGGCAGCUGACGGGAGCGCAACUGACGCUGAAGCUCGAAGGUGCGGGUAUCGAACAGG
This 761-nucleotide ribosomal RNA is filed under the name Prevotella melaninogenica. RNAcentral describes it as "bacterial SSU rRNA". It matches the Rfam family "Bacterial small subunit ribosomal RNA", at positions 28 to 776 of the family's 1533-position model. Lineage: Bacteria; Pseudomonadati; Bacteroidota; Bacteroidia; Bacteroidales; Prevotellaceae. The record is from RNAcentral.